GGGGUGCUCGAGUGGCGAACGGGUGAGUAACACGUGAGUAACCUGCCCUUGACUUUGGGAUAACUUCAGGAAACUGGGGCUAAUACCGGAUAGGAGCUCCUGCUGCAUGGUGGGGGUUGGAAAGUUCCGGCGGUUGGGGAUGGACUCGCGGCUUAUCAGCUUGUUGGUGGGGUAGUGGCUUACCAAGGCUUUGACGGGUAGCCGGCCUGAGAGGGUGACCGGCCACAUUGGGACUGAGAUACGGCCCAG
This 249-nucleotide ribosomal RNA is filed under the name uncultured Actinomycetales bacterium. RNAcentral's name for it is "partial 16S ribosomal RNA". It matches the Rfam family "Bacterial small subunit ribosomal RNA", at positions 84 to 334 of the family's 1533-position model. The record is from RNAcentral. Lineage: Bacteria; Bacillati; Actinomycetota; Actinomycetes; Actinomycetales.